AGAGUUUGAUCCUGGCUCAGAACGAACGCUGGCGGCAGGCUUAACACAUGCAAGUCGAGCGCCCCGCAAGGGGAGCGGCAGACGGGUGAGUAACGCGUGGGGAUGUACCCAAAGGUUCGGAAUAACUCAGGGAAACUUGAGCUAAUACCGUAUGUGCCCGAGAGGGGAAAGAUUUAUCGCCUUUGGAUCAACCCGCGUCAGAUUAGCUAGUUGGUAGGGUAAUGGCCUACCAAGGCGACGAUCUGUAGCUGGUCUGAGAGGAUGAUCAGCCACACUGGGACUGAGACACGGCCCAGACUCCUACGGGAGGCAGCAGUGGGGAAUAUUGGACAAUGGGCGCAAGCCUGAUCCAGCCAUGCCGCGUGAGUGAUGACGGCCUUAGGGUUGUAAAGCUCUUUCGACGGGGACGAUAAUGACGGUACCCGUAGAAGAAGCCCCGGCUAACUUCGUGCCAGCAGCCGCGGUA
This 466-nucleotide ribosomal RNA is filed under the name uncultured Pseudomonadota bacterium. RNAcentral describes it as "bacterial SSU rRNA". It matches the Rfam family "Bacterial small subunit ribosomal RNA", at positions 8 to 522 of the family's 1533-position model. Lineage: Bacteria; Pseudomonadati; Pseudomonadota. The record is from RNAcentral.